UACGAAGGGGGCGAGCGUUGUUCGGAUUUACUGGGCGUAAAGCGCGUGUAGGCUGCUUCGCAAGUCGGGUGUGAAAGCCCUGGGCUCAACCUAGGAAGUGCACUCGAAACUGCGAAGCUUGAGUCCUGGAGAGGAAGGCGGAAUUCUCGGUGUAGAGGUGAAAUUCGUAGAUAUCGAGAGGAACACCGGUGGCGAAGGCGGCCUUCUGGACAGUGACUGACGCUGAGACGCGAAAGCGUGGGGAGCAAACAGG
Molecule: ribosomal RNA, 253 nt
Filed under: uncultured bacterium
Lineage: Bacteria
Description: partial 16S ribosomal RNA
Rfam family: Bacterial small subunit ribosomal RNA
Source: RNAcentral